UGGGCCCCAAGUUAUAGCCGGGCCAAGGGGCGGGCGCGCCCGGGCUCCACCCCUAGCUCCUGACUGACGUCGCACCGGCCCACUCAGGCGCCACGCUCCGGUCUCUCCCGGCGGGACCGAACCUCCGGACGCCGGUAUCUCCGCCUCUUUCGCACCUGGGUGAGCAGUGGCUCGCGCCGUGCGGGUUCCUGGAGGCGCGGCGGCCUGUGGGGGUGGGCAGCGGAGAGCGGCCGGAAGUGCGAGCUGCUGGUCGCGGUCUCAGUCGUGCCGACGUCCCAGAAAAGCAAUAAAAGCAUUUGCAUCUAAAAGCAAAACUGAAGUUUCAGAGAUGGAUGAAGAUAGUUCGGGAUGAAGACAGGAUCCAAAGAUGAUUUUGGACCGAAUUACAUAAUUGAAGAGUGAACCAGGUGUGUCAGGCUGCGGUGCCUCUGUUCUGACAUUGGAAAUACUUGGGAGGAUGAGUGCAAGAAGCACUGGCUUAAGAUCCAGGCAAGAAUCAGCGCUGAACUUGCUUCUCCCUGAAGGCUGACUUGUCUUCCAGGCUUGUGUCCUUAUUAAGUCAACUUCUAUGACAGAAUAUUCUAUGAGGUUCUGUAGAGGAUGUGGAUGUAUGUGUGACAAGUGAACACCUUAGGAGUUCAGUGGGACCACAUUUGGAUUUGGAUGACGCAAAGAGUCAGAAAGCUUUGAAGAAAUAUGAUGCCAUGUUGUGAGAGGACCUCUGGAGACGGCCACAUGGCAAGGAACUGCAGGUGGCCUGUAGAGCUGAGAGCAUCCCUCGGCCACAGCCAGCAAGAAGACAGGGACUUCAGCCCUACAACUAAGGGAUGAAUUCUGCCAACAACCUGAGGGAGCUUGGAAGGGGAUCUUUCCCCAGUUGAGCUUCCAGAUGAAAACACAGCCUGACCGACACCUUGACUGCAACCUUGUGAGACCCUAAGCAGAGGACCCAGUUAGACUGGUGACUCAAGAAAACUGAGAUAAUAAAUGUGUGUUGUUUUAAGCCUCUAGGUUUGGAAUAAUUUGU
This is a long non-coding RNA of Choloepus didactylus (southern two-toed sloth), 1027 nucleotides long. RefSeq lists it as uncharacterized. The record is from RefSeq and is a predicted model, not a curated record. Lineage: Eukaryota; Metazoa; Chordata; Mammalia; Pilosa; Megalonychidae. The transcript has 5 exons.